UACGAAGGGGGCGAGCGUUGUUCGGAUUUACUGGGCGUAAAGGGCGCGCAGGCGGCGCAUUUUGUCAGGCGUGAAAGCCCCGGGCUUAACCUGGGAACUGCGUUUGAUACGGAUGGGCUAGAGUUCGGGAGAGGAGAGUGGAAUUCCCAGUGUAGAGGUGAAAUUCGUAGAUAUUAGGAAGAACACCAGUGGCGAAGGCGGCUCACUGGCCCGGUACUGACGCUGAGGCGCGAAAGCGUGGGGAGCAAACAGG
RNAcentral lists this ribosomal RNA (253 nucleotides) under uncultured bacterium. RNAcentral's name for it is "partial 16S ribosomal RNA". It matches the Rfam family "Bacterial small subunit ribosomal RNA", at positions 524 to 776 of the family's 1533-position model. The record is from RNAcentral.